UACGUAGGGGGCAAGCGUUGUCCGGAAUUACUGGGCGUAAAGGGUGCGUAGGCGGCAUCUUAAGUCAGAUGUGAAAUAUCCAUGCUUAACGUGGAGGGUGCAUUUGAAACUGGGAUGCUUGAGUGCAGGAGAGGAAAGUGGAAUUCCUAGUGUAGCGGUGAAAUGCGUAGAUAUUAGGAGGAACACCAGUGGCGAAGGCGACUUUCUGGGCUGUAACUGACGCUGAGGCACGAAAGCGUGGGGAGCAAACAGGAUUAGAUACCCUGGUAGUCCACGCUGUAAACGAUGGAUACUAGGUGUAGGGGGCGAUAGCUCUCUGUGCCGCAGCAAACGCAAUAAGUAUCCCGCCUGGGGAGUACGAUCGCAAGGUUGAA
This 374-nucleotide ribosomal RNA is filed under the name uncultured bacterium. RNAcentral describes it as "bacterial SSU rRNA". It matches the Rfam family "Bacterial small subunit ribosomal RNA", at positions 524 to 898 of the family's 1533-position model. The record is from RNAcentral.